GACGAACGCUGGCGGCGCGCCUAACACAUGCAAGUCGAACGGGCGAGAGAGAGCUUGCUUUCUCAAGCGAGUGGCGAACGGGUGAGUAACGCGUGAGGAACCUGCCUCAAAGAGGGGGACAACAGUUGGAAACGACUGCUAAUACCGCAUAAGCCCACAGGUCGGCAUCGACCAGAGGGAAAAGGAGCAAUCCGCUUUGAGAUGGCCUCGCGUCCGAUUAGCUAGUUGGUGAGGUAACGGCCCACCAAGGCAACGAUCGGUAGCCGGACUGAGAGGUUGAACGGCCACAUUGGGACUGAGACACGGCCCAGACUCCUACGGGAGGCAGCAGUGGGGAAUAUUGCACAAUGGGGGAAACCCUGAUGCAGCGACGCCGCGUGGAGGAAGAAGGUCUUCGGAUUGUAAACUCCUGUUGUUGAGGAAGAUAAUGACGGUACUCAACAAGGAAGUGACGGCUAACUACGUG
RNAcentral lists this ribosomal RNA (466 nucleotides) under uncultured bacterium. RNAcentral's name for it is "partial 16S ribosomal RNA". It matches the Rfam family "Bacterial small subunit ribosomal RNA", at positions 28 to 507 of the family's 1533-position model. The record is from RNAcentral.